RNAcentral lists this ribosomal RNA (463 nucleotides) under uncultured bacterium. RNAcentral's name for it is "partial 16S ribosomal RNA". It matches the Rfam family "Bacterial small subunit ribosomal RNA", at positions 28 to 507 of the family's 1533-position model. The record is from RNAcentral.
GACGAACGCUGGCGGCGUGCUUAACACAUGCAAGUCGAACGGUGAACCUCUUCGGAGGGGAUCAGUGGCGAACGGGUGAGUAACACGUGGGCAACCUGCUCCCGGCUCUGGGAUAACUCCAAGAAAUUGGGGCUAAUACCGGAUGUUCACCGCUUCCCGCAUGGGUGGUGGUGGAAAGGGUUUCCGGCUGGGGAUGGGCCCGCGGCCUAUCAGCUUGUUGGUGGGGUAGUGGCCUACCAAGGCGACGACGGGUAGCCGGCCUGAGAGGGUGACCGGCCACACUGGGACUGAGACACGGCCCAGACUCCUACGGGAGGCAGCAGUGGGGAAUUUUGCGCAAUGGGCGGAAGCCUGACGCAGCGACGCCGCGUGGGGGAUGACGGCCUUCGGGUUGUAAACCUCUUUCAGCAGGGACGAAGCGCAAGUGACGGUACCUGCAGAAGAAGCACCGGCCAACUACGUG